Long non-coding RNA from Fukomys damarensis (Damara mole-rat), 6129 nucleotides. RefSeq lists it as uncharacterized. NCBI's taxonomy places the organism in Eukaryota, Metazoa, Chordata, Mammalia, Rodentia, Bathyergidae. The transcript is spliced from 18 exons. The record is from RefSeq and is a predicted model, not a curated record.
GGCGUCUGGAGGCGUCGGGACGCUGGCUGCAGGGGCCACGCGGGCUGCGCUGUGUCUUCGGCCUCACUUCACCUGGGGGAAAAGAGACUUCGAGCGCACCCGCAGCCUUCGGGCUGAAGAGCCGUCCAGAGUGGACCGACUGGGGUGCCCGCCUCCGCCUCAGGAACACGCAUUUCUACUGAGCCUGGAGUUUCAAGCAUAUGUCUCAGGGAGAAGAGACCCAUAUAAAGGCAAUUACAACUGGAAGCUCUCUGAGAGAAAGCAGACAUCUGCCACCACGCACUGAGCAUGGCGCUUAGCAGAGUGGCCCCUGGGGAUGACUGUAGCAGUGCAGGAGGACGGCUGGCUUCGUGGGCCUCUUCUGACUCUGCAGGCUCUGGAGAAAACACUCCGGAAGGGCUUCUGUGUGGUCCAAGUUAUUCCAAGCGCCUGCUCUGAGUGUGGACACUUUGCCAGACACAGCACGUGACAACAGCUGAGCCCAGACCAUCCGGCAGGGAAGACAAAGGAGAAAGCUACAGGAGCACUCCCGGGGUCUCCAGCGUGCAGAGAGCCUGAGGACUGGAAGUGAGGCCUGGAGCAGUGUACUGUGCGGCCAGAAGACUUUGCCAGGGCAGGACUGACGGCCCUGACUCUGAGCUUCCACAGGGAAAUAACCCGGCCUCGCCAUGUCACGCCAUGUCACGCAUCUCCAGGGUAACGCACAUCCAGGGACUGACAGCCAUGGGGUGUGUCCCUCCACCCCGCCGUGACUGGGACCCGCACUGGCAGACUGCGCCAGCGUCAGGUCACCCCGUCUUUACCACUGAUUGCCAGCCAGCACUGUGGUGUCUGUGCCAGAGCCCAAACCAUAGCAAGGACUGUGUUCCAAUAAUGCCAUCGAAGCCAUAACUAUUGUGUAUUUAUUUAUAAAUGCAUAAAAUAAACGCUGGACUACAAAACAAAUCCAGGAGAAUAUAAUGCUGCUGUCAUGAUCUUCACAUCUUAGAAACUUACAGAUCAAGAAGACGUCAAUAUUUGUAAGGAUGAAGAUCGGAGUGACGUGGUUACAUCAGUCAAGAGACAGAGAACGACCCAUCUACUAGAAUGUGGUAUAAAAAGUCGACACAGACAGUACAAGUUUACUGUACAACCUCACCAUGGGCUAGAGCGGUGAUGGCAAACCCAUGGCACCUGUGCCACAGCCGGCUGUAUGUUAUCACUGAAAUUUCUAAAAGGUUCACCAUCACUGAGGUCUUCCACGCAGCACGGUAAUGUAUAAUAGAACAUAAAACCACAGCUCUGCACCGCACCAUACAAUCAACAAAAACUGCAGUACUGCGCCGCAGAGGAAGUCGCUCAAGGCCACACUGCGGCUCACGUUCCUGCGCGCUAGGUCUGAGCUCAGCUCGGAAUCCAACCAGCCGGUACCGAAUCCAGACAGCAGCCUCGGUCCUAAGUGCGGAGGGCUGCUAACACAUAAAGUGAGGGCUCGCUGCGCCUGAAGACAGCUCGCUGCUGAAGCUCGUCGCUUCCUCUGCAGAAUGAACACCGGCUUCUUCCAGCUCUUCGAUGGGAAGGCAAGGAGAAGAGCUGCUCGGGGACUUCGUGCUCUGCUUCAGCUGUCCCGCCGUGUGCAACCAGAAGCACAGCAGGUUCCUUCUCCCUCCUCUGCCCCUACCCCUCUCCUUUCUUCCCUGUCCUUUACCGUUUGCUGUGCUCACAUGGUGUUUGUGUUUCGGAGUCACUCACCCGCUGGAAGUCCAUAAACAAGCAUGCUGCUUCGGAAGGAAUCACUGGGUCACUUCUCAUCCUCUCCUCUCGGUAGGAAGUGGAACCCUGGGAGGUCCGAUGGAUUCCUCCGGACCCAGGGUUAAGGUCGCUGAGCUUUCGCACCUCCAUCUUUCCUGUCCACGCUUGAGUCCGAAUUGACCCCCACUUCCUGCACCCUCCAGGGCUACAAUGACUUAGUGUAUUUCUAGUUUCCAUAUUUGACAUCUUGGAAGAAGACUGUGCCUUAGCAGCACCAGCGCUCAGCAUAGUGAGCGACACAUAACAGGUGCUCAGUGAGCACCUGGUGAGUGGAAGGCGGCUCAGAGAUCACUGCCUGUUUUGAGUCAAUUCAAGUCACCUCAGGGCCAGCUGAGUUUCCUCCACCUUCCCAUUGGAAAUGCCUCACUUAGGAAUUUGAGUUAGGCUAUACUCUUCCUGCUGUCCUGGCACCAAGCACAACUUCCACUGUCACCAAGAUGAUUUUAAAUGAAACAGAGGAUGCAGACGCUUCAGAAUGCUGUGCUGUAAACACUCACUGAAACAGACAUUUUUUUUGGCUCUUCAGUGUAGAGAGGGAAAAUGAAUAUACAUGCAAAGGUUAAAUUUCUUUUCACACACACGUGCAUAUAAAACAUGCGUAGAGUUACUGCUGUGUGUGUGCAAAUAGAGCAGUGUUGCCUUUGUAUAUUCCAGCAUAUGUACCUCUCCCGAAUUGCAAAGUGCACUCCAGUUUACGUGAAGUCCUGCGCGGUUAGUCUCACCUCCCAGGCAGUUCCUUGCUAUUCCUUUGCCUCCAAGAAUGUACGAUUUAUUUAACGAAACCACCAUGAAGCGAAUCAGCCAACGCUUGCUCUACCUGGCGGGAAAGUUCCCCAAUGCCACAGCGCUGAUGAACCAGUCGCUGGGCUCUGUGAGACCACAGGCCCAGCGAGGGAAGCCACCUCCAGCAGCCCUGUCUCCCAGCUGCUUCCCACCGAUGUACUCCUGGGUCUCUCAGCUUGGGGAGGGGAAUGAGGAAAAGCACUGCAUCCCCCGGUGCUGGAGAUGGCUGCCUUUCCCUUCUGUUCUCUGCUCUCUCUGUCUCCACACCUCAAUCUUUUCAUAGGAAUGUCCUCAGAAACUAAUGUAAUUAACUGGAACUCUUUAUGUUUUCCUCCCUUCUACUCAUCAGAAGGAAAGCUUAGUUUUUUAGUAGGUAGCCAGUGAACACCAAGCAUUUAGCCAUCUGUUUUGAAAUUUUUGCACAGAAAAAGACCUUGAGCUGUUUCAAUCUGAACCUCUGGGAACUGAUCCAAGAGAGAUGAGAAAUUCAUCCUACCUGAUCCCCGCUCUGCUCCUUCAGAAUCCCAACCCAAAUUAAAGAAAUCAUAAAAUAAGCUGCAAAGUAAGGGAAGUGUAAAUUAUUAAGUAUCAACAAUUAGCCUUCUUAUCUGGCUUGCAAAUGUAGAACACCCUGCAGCAAGGCCUCUUUCUGACCGGAAGGCUGUUUGUUUGAUAAAUUCUGAUAAUUUUAUUGCCUCUAUCCCUGGUUUCCCUGGGGCUCAGUGUCUUAAAGAUGCUGGGGUUGGGAGGCCGUUCUCUGUGGAAGUCACAUCCAGGUUCGUGACUGGACUUUCCUGGCUUAACUAUCUGACUGAUUCAUACAACCAAUGCAUGGGACAGUUACUCAGAGAAUAGCAGCUGGACUGAGAAAUGCCUGUCCUUGGUAUCCAGUUCACCACUGCUGCCCGAGCUGCCCAGCAAGCUGCCUGCUUUCUACGUUUUGCUCAGAUUCUGGGGGUCAGGAAUUGAGCAGGGCAUGGUGAUGAUGACUCGGCAUUCCUCUACAAGGUUUGUGGCCUCAGAUGACAAAACUCAAGGUUAGGGGUGGCCAGAGGCAGAGAACAGUGCCACCUGAGGGAGCAUUUGGUGGCCAUUGUUGAGAAGAGGGUUCCAUCAGCGAGGGGGACAUCCUGGGUCAGGGCUCAGGUGGCCCUGUCAUGUGCUUCUCACCGCUUCUCGAAUAGCUGACUUCUCAGCUGACUCCCAAGAAGAGAGUCCUGGCUGUCAGAGCCAGCGUCUCACCUUUUCAGACCUCCUUCGAAGGCGGGCAGCCCAUCUCAUUCGAGUGGUUGUAAGCAAGCCCCAGCCCGGGCAGAUUCCGGGAAGCUGACAUAGACCCUGUGUCCAAAAGAGAGCUGUGUCGGGGGCACGCUGAGGACAAGCAUGGCAACGGGAGACAUGUCUGUGACCACCUCCUGAGAGCGCACAGUGGCUGACAGCUGGAUGGGGAGCGAGACAGGCAAAGAAAUAGAUGCAAAGAAAGACUGCAGUGCUUUGAAAGAUGCUUUGAGGGCACCAAGCACCCGUCGACCAUACGUGGAGAAAACAGGGAGGAGGAACAUCUCAUAAAUGAGGCUCUUUGUGGUGCAUGCUGUUUGUGUUGUGUGUGUCCCAUGGAACAGGCACACACUCCCUGUGGUCUGUGCACAGUUGUGUCUGCACACUGUGGCUCCUGCCAGACAUCCGGUCUUCCUUCCCUGUCGUAUUCUCUGCAUUUUCUCUGGCACACUGGAGGAAAGGCAGCGUCACCAGAGGCAUGGGGCUUAGAGUCCUCCUGAAUUUUCUAAGCGAAUCCAUUUGAGAGGGCAGCAAGGAAGGCAGUCUCUUCAGGACAGAGCUCAUGUCAAAGCAGAAAGUUUCAAAGAAGAAACUGGAUGUCCCAUCCAGUUCUUCAAAUGACACCAUGAGCCUGGAAAGGACCUCUGAACACCCCACCUCCAGUGACACUGCUCCUGGGCCGGAUGGUUCUCUUGGCCAGCUCAAGAGCCACGCUGAAGAACUGUAUCGGAGACAGAGUGAAAGGUGUUCAGAGGCUGCGUCCCCAAGUACUCGGAGCUUCCUGCUCUCACCAGUUCUGUAAAGCUUUAUGGCUUGCAUUGUACAACGCUGGACACUGAGACAGAAAGUGGUUUUUUAGGAUUACCAUUGGAAUUACAAAUCCAAUACACUGUGACAACUGCAAGACACUGAGAAAAAAAUUUGGACCCUUGGGAAUCUACUUGUCGGUCCCUGACUGAAUAAGAGUUUCAGAAAGCACGCUAAUGAGAAGACUGUUUAAACCGCAGAAUGAUGCCAGAGUGUUUUCCCCGCUUCCACUAGAAAUUGUCAAUCAGAGGAUGCCUCGCGCCAUUCAGCUCGAACUCUGCCGACAACUUCCACUCUUCAGCCUGCAAUUAUCAUGAGCCAUGCCAAGUUGGAUGUACUUGGACCUAAAUCUUUGAGCACAUCCUUACUGAGGGAAACAUUGCUAUUUCUUAGGCGUUAAUUAACAGUCUAAGAAGAAAAGCAUACAGACAUCGGAGUCCACUCUGUCUGAAAUUCUCCCAGUGACGUGCCAGGAAGAGAGAAUGUACUCGAUAAACAUUGAAACCGGUGUGUGAAUGUGCCCUGUAAUGGUUGGGACAAUUCUUGCUCUUGGAGAAAUGGAAGACACAACUUCUAUGUUGUCACCUAUUUUAGUCACCCAUUUUACAGCCUACAGUCUUCUAUUUCGCUAUCAUUCAGAAGGAUUCCAAGGAUCAAGCAAGUGCAGGGCUGUUACUGUCUCAGGAAUAAUUCCACCAAAGAGCUAUGCAGCAUCUCCUGCCAAGCUGCUGUAUCACAGCUGCCUGUACUGCCUUCCUGCUGGACUCCUUCCUCCCAUUCUCCCAGUCAUCAGGCUCCUGUCAGAUCAAAUGUGAAGAGAAGUCAGAAAGCAGAGUGUGUUCCGAGUUACUGAUCGAUGGGCGAUGAUCCGAAUUCUCUCCCCAAAAUGGGCAUAACCUACCUGGGAUUCCCUGUCUUCACAUCGCUGCAGCUGUGGCACCUGAGCGGCAGUACUUGGGGGCAGCAUUGCGCUGCUCCACUUCACCCAACAGCUUCAUCUUAGUCUCCACUGGGCCACUGGACUCAACAAAGAGACCCUUCCGGAGCCGUGGCGGCCUGUGAGCACAGGACUAAUCAAACACGAAGACUCAGAUGUCUAAGGUCUCUUUUUACACCGUUGGCAACAACCCUCAGGCGAGUCUUCCACGCCCAGAAUCAUCGCACUGACUCAGGUCAGCUGGGUGUUGCGAGUUGACCGUGAGCUCGUCCAGCCCAGCUGGGAGGAAGCUCGGCGCUCAGGAGUCGGCGAUGCAUCUGCUCUGCCACGAGGCCGGGCAGAGGCCGGGCAGUUCCUCGGGGGCCGCGGUCUCCAGGCUGAGCUUUGCUGCACGACUGCUCUUUACUCCACAACCUGCACCCAAACUGCGCCUGAAGCGGUAACCCGGCUCCGUGCCCGUGUCCGGCCCAACAGCCCGAUUCCAUCUCCACCCGGACGCUGCGCCUGCCGCCUUAGUUGCAGGCUCAUCUUCC